AAAAAGGUUUGAGUAGAACAACACAAGAUAUUCGGUAUGUUGACAUAAAAAACUUGCACUAUACAAAUCCUGAAGAAACACAAAUGAUAGCAAAGGAAGUUGGCACUAAAGAGAAAAGAAUCUAAAAACGGAGAACCCCAAAAUGCCUAAAAGGUAAUUCGACCACUACUCAAUACCAUUUGACGAAAAUGCACACCUCCAAACCCCUUGGCCGAAUUUUGCAUCAUCAAUCUGCCCAUUUCAACUACAACUCACUCAAACUCCUUGAAAAUCUCCUUGAUUCUCUCCCUGAUAUCCUCCACAACCAACCACAAGACCAAUUCAAACUCUCUAUCACCAGAGUUCAAAUCCAACACUAACUCUUUUCAUCCCCUGCUAGCAAAAUAAUUACCCCUUGCUUGCCAUAAGAUUCGAA
Molecule: long non-coding RNA, 415 nt
Filed under: Gossypium barbadense (sea-island cotton)
Lineage: Eukaryota; Viridiplantae; Streptophyta; Magnoliopsida; Malvales; Malvaceae
Description: long non-coding RNA (GBAR_LNC012652)
Source: RNAcentral